This is a long non-coding RNA of Amblyraja radiata (thorny skate), 843 nucleotides long. RefSeq lists it as uncharacterized. The transcript has 3 exons. Lineage: Eukaryota; Metazoa; Chordata; Chondrichthyes; Rajiformes; Rajidae. The record is from RefSeq and is a predicted model, not a curated record.
GCCUGAGGGCAUGUUCAAAUAAAUUCCCCUCCCCCUUUUCAAUACAACCGAAGCUCUUGCUAGCAGCCCCGACAUUCCCUGAAAGCCAUAAUGAGCAUCAAGCACUGCCUGUUCAGCCGGGCUCGUUAAAGAUAGUAACUGGUAGCGAAUGACCAGACACACUCAAUAUUUGAAUACGACAGGAAGGGAAGACACAUCACUCCUCCUCCCUGACAUGCUUUGAGAUUACACUGGAAAAUUGGAUGUUCUUAGUCAAUUCAUCAAUGCGGAUGCACAGUUGCUUUGUACAGCAGCGCACUCCGGUCUUCAUGAAGUGAAAAGGAUCCCAUAUGGAAGAAGAAGCCUCAGCAGUGGAAAUGGACUGGAUAUGCUGGCAGCAAAGGGUGGGGUCAGGAAUGAAUGAUCAGGAUCCACAGCUGAAUUAUAUGCCUUUGGAGCGAAAUCUUCGAACUGUUGCAAUAACAGCCUGUGGCCUGGAGAGGAUCUCCAACACAACAUUUUGCAUCAGUCGACACUUCACUGAACUAAUGGAGAAGCUGCAGUACACUCAAUCGGACUAGAGUACAGAAAGCAACUUAUACCCCAUCCAUCUUUUCCUUAAAAAGGUCAGUUUGUAGAAGAAAUAUGUGUAUUACAUUUGUAUAGAAUGUAAUUUCAACAGUGCUAGGACACUUGACUCGUACAGAAAACUAGAGAAUACAUAUAAAGUGAUGUUCAAAAUACUUUUUUUAAUAUGCAGGAAUUAAAGAGCUUAGAAAUUAUUUGACACAGGAAGAGAUGCACCGUGCAGGGGUCCAAAGGUGUUUGUUGUACAACUGGCCCAAAAGAUUACACGCAAAAUAA